This 1041-nucleotide ribosomal RNA is filed under the name Escherichia coli. Its description in RNAcentral is "bacterial SSU rRNA". It matches the Rfam family "Bacterial small subunit ribosomal RNA", at positions 482 to 1533 of the family's 1533-position model. Lineage: Bacteria; Pseudomonadati; Pseudomonadota; Gammaproteobacteria; Enterobacterales; Enterobacteriaceae. The record is from RNAcentral.
GAAAAACGGCACCGGAUAACUCCGUGCCCCAGCAGCCGCGAGUAAAUACGGAAGGAGCAAGCGUUAAUUCGGAAUGACUGGGAGUAAAGCGCACGCUAGGCGGUUGGUUAAGUCAGAAGGGAAAUCCCCGGACUAAACCUGGGACACUGCAUAAGAGACUGGACAAGAUAGAGUAUCGUAGAGGGGGGUAGCAAUUCCAGUGUGUAGCGGUGAAAUGCGUAGAGAUAUGGAAGAACACCAGUAGGCGAAGGCGGCCCCCUGGACUGAAGACUGACAGCUCAGAUGCGAAAGCGUGCGGAGCAAACAGGAUUAGAUACCAUGGUAGUCCACGCAGUAAACGAUGUCAACUAGCAGGUUGUGAAGCCUUGAGGCGUGAGCUGCCGAGCAGCUAACGCAUUAAGUCGACCGCCUGGGGAGUACGGCAACAAGGUUAAAACUCAAAUGAAUUGACGGGGGCCCGCACAAGCGGUGGAGCAUGUGGUUUAAUUCGAAGCAACGCGAAGAACCUUACCAGGUCGUUGACAUCCACGUGAACUUUAUCAGAGAUGAGAAUGGUGCCUUCGGGAACAGUGAGACAGGUGAUGCAUGGCGUGUAGUCAGCUCGUGUCGUGAAAUGUUGGGUUAAGUCCCGCAACGAGAGCAACCCUUAUCCUUAGUUACCAGCACGUCAUGGCCGGGAACUCAAGAGGAGACGGCCAUGGUGACAAACCAGAGGAAGGUGGGAGAUGACGUCAAGUACAUCAUGGCCCUUACGACCAGGGAUACACACGUGAUACAAUGGUCGCAUACAAAGAGAAGCUGACAAGCUCGCGAGAGCAAGCGAGUUAAUCCUCAGAAAACGCGAUCGUAGUCCGGAUGUCGAGUAUGCAACUCGAAUCCAUGAAGUCGUGAAUCGCUAGUAAUCGUGGAUCAGAAUGCCACGAUGAAUACGCUCCCCGGCCUAGUACACACCGCCCGUCACCACCAUGGGAGUGAGUAGCCGCAGAAAGGGGCCGUUAUACCCAUGUGGAGGACAGUGUGCGCUCGGUUGUGACGAAGUGG